CAGUAGCCGCGGUAAUACGAAGGGUGCAAGCGUUACUCGGAAUUACUGGGCGUAAAGCGUGCGUAGGUGGUGGUUAAGUCCGUUGUGAAAGCCCUGGGCUCAACCUGGGAAUUGCAGUGGAUACUGGGUCACUAGAGUGUGGUAGAGGAUAGUGGAAUUUCCGGUGUAGCAGUGAAAUGCGUAGAGAUCGGAAGGAACAUCUGUGGCGAAGGCGACUAUCUGGGCCAACACUGACACUGAGGCACGAAAGCGUGGGGAGCAAACAGGAUUAGAUACCCGGGUAGUCCCUGUCUCUUAUACA
RNAcentral lists this ribosomal RNA (301 nucleotides) under uncultured bacterium. Its description in RNAcentral is "partial 16S ribosomal RNA". It matches the Rfam family "Bacterial small subunit ribosomal RNA", at positions 509 to 808 of the family's 1533-position model. The record is from RNAcentral.